UUCCAGACUCCUACGGGAGGCAGCAGUAGGGAAUUUUGCGCAAUGGGGGAAACCCUGACGCAGCAACACCGCGUGAAUGUUAAGCCCUUCGGGGUGUAAAGUUCUGUCAAUAGGGACGAAUUUUGACUGUACCUAUAAAGGAAGCACCGGCUAACUCCGUGCCAGCAGCCGCGGUAAUACGGAGGGUGCGAGUGUUAAUCGGAAUUACUGGGCGUAAAGCGCUCGUAGGCGGUAUGUCAAGUCAAGGGUGAAAUCCCCGCGCUCAACGUGGGAACUGCCUUUGAAACUGGCAAACUGGAGUGUGUGAGAGGAUAGUGGAAUUCCAGGUGUAGGAGUGAAAUCCGUAGAUAUCUGGAGGAACAUCAGUGGCGAAGGCGACUAUCUGGCACAUAACUGACGCUGAGGAGCGAAAGCGUGGGUAGCAAACAGGAUUAGAUACCCCAGUA
Molecule: ribosomal RNA, 446 nt
Filed under: uncultured bacterium
Lineage: Bacteria
Description: bacterial SSU rRNA
Rfam family: Bacterial small subunit ribosomal RNA
Source: RNAcentral